RNAcentral lists this long non-coding RNA (260 nucleotides) under Gallus gallus (chicken). The record is from RNAcentral. Lineage: Eukaryota; Metazoa; Chordata; Aves; Galliformes; Phasianidae.
GUCAAAGCCAGAAAGUACAGGUUAGUGUCAACAAAAAUUCCUUUCACUUCAUCUGCAUCCUUUUCUGAAAAUCCAAACUGCUGGAGGGAGUACACAGCAUCCUGCAUGUGGAUCCAAAAUCGGAGUUUUCCAAGAGAUAUUUUGUCAUAUGACACUGUAAGAGGUAGCUCUGUCGUUGAGCGAUUUAUGACCAUCAAAUCUUUCACUCUGUUGCUUAGCUGAUCAAUAAAUAAUAUUGGAAGGUAAUGCACUGUCUUCCC